AUGGAGAAAAUCAAAUGGAGACUGCAUAUGAAAGGUUUUGCUGGUGUUUCCAAUGAUGGUUUGAGUGGGGGCUUGGCCCUCUAUUGGUAUGAGAAUUUGCAAGUGACAGUUUUGGAUUCCUGUGCACAGUAUAUAGACGUGCGGAUUGUAGAUGGAGCAAAUGAUAUAUCAUGGAGGAUGACCUAUGUUUAUGGAGAACCACGGGUGGAGAACAGACAUCGUAUGUGGAGCUCUCUGUCAAAUUUACGGGCCUUCUCCUCGGAACCGUGGUUGGUUUGUGGAGACUUUAAUGAAGCUAUGUGGCAACACGAACACCUCUCCCUUACGCAACGGUCUGAAAAUCAAAUGCAACAGUUCAGGGACUGUUUACUCUCUUGUGAGCUGAUGACUUGGGGUUCUCCGGGAUCCUGUACACAUAUGAUAAUGGUCAAGUGGGUAACAGAAACGUCCGUGUUCGUUUGGACAGAACUUGUGCAGAUG
Molecule: ribosomal RNA, 480 nt
Filed under: Triticum aestivum (bread wheat)
Lineage: Eukaryota; Viridiplantae; Streptophyta; Magnoliopsida; Poales; Poaceae
Description: partial small subunit ribosomal RNA
Source: RNAcentral